GAUGAACGCUGGCGGCGUGCCUAAUACAUGCAAGUCGAGCGAACGGACGAGAAGCUUGCUUCUCUGAUGUUAGCGGCGGACGGGUGAGUAACACGUGGAUAACCUACCUAUAAGACUGGGAUAACUUCGGGAAACCGGAGCUAAUACCGGAUAAUAUUUUGAACCGCAUGGUUCAAAAGUGAAAGACGGUCUUGCUGUCACUUAUAGAUGCUUCCGCGCUGCAUUAGCUAGUUGGUACGGUAACGGCUUACCAAGGCAACGAUGCAUAGCCGACCUGAGAGGGUGAUCGGCCACACUGGAACUGAGACACGGUCCAGACUCCUAAGGGAGGCAGCAGUAGGGAAUCUUCCGCAAUGGGCGAAAGCCUGACGGAGCAACGCCGCGUGAGUGAUGAAGGUCUUCGGAUCGUAAAACUCUGUUAUUAGGGAAGAACAUAUGUGUAAGUAACUGUGCACAUCUUGACGGUACCUAAUCAGAAAGCCACGGCUAACUACGUG
This 497-nucleotide ribosomal RNA is filed under the name uncultured bacterium. RNAcentral describes it as "partial 16S ribosomal RNA". It matches the Rfam family "Bacterial small subunit ribosomal RNA", at positions 28 to 507 of the family's 1533-position model. The record is from RNAcentral.